RNAcentral lists this ribosomal RNA (807 nucleotides) under uncultured bacterium. RNAcentral describes it as "bacterial SSU rRNA". It matches the Rfam family "Bacterial small subunit ribosomal RNA", at positions 561 to 1365 of the family's 1533-position model. The record is from RNAcentral.
UAAAGAGCUCGUAGGUGGUCUGUCGCGUCUGCUGUGGAAACGCAACGCUCAACGUUGCGCGUGCAGUGGGUACGGGCGGACUGGAGUGCAGUAGGGGAGUCUGGAAUUCCUGGUGUAGCGGUGAAAUGCGCAGAUAUCAGGAGGAACACCGGUGGCGAAGGCGGGACUCUGGGCUGUAACUGACGCUGAGGAGCGAAAGCAUGGGGAGCGAACAGGAUUAGAUACCCUGGUAGUCCAUGCCGUAAACGUUGGGCACUAGGUGUGGGACCCAUUCCACGGGUUCCGUGCCGUAGCUAACGCAUUAAGUGCCCCGCCUGGGGAGUACGGCCGCAAGGCUAAAACUCAAAGGAAUUGACGGGGGCCCGCACAAGCGGCGGAGCAUGCGGAUUAAUUCGAUGCAACGCGAAGAACCUUACCAAGGCUUGACAUACACCGGACCGGGCUGGAAACAGUCCUUCCCUUCGGGGCUGGUGUACAGGUGGUGCAUGGUUGUCGUCAGCUCGUGUCGUGAGAUGUUGGGUUAAGUCCCGCAACGAGCGCAACCCUCGUUCUAUGUUGCCAGCACGUGAUGGUGGGAACUCAUAGGAGACUGCCGGGGUCAACUCGGAGGAAGGUGGGGAUGACGUCAAAUCAUCAUGCCCUUUAUGUCUUGGGCUUCACGCAUGCUACAAUGGCCGGUACAGAGGGUGGCGAUGCCGUGAGGUGGAGCGAAUCCCAGAAAGCCGGUCUCAGUUCGGAUCGUAGUCUGCAACUCGACUACGUGAAGUCGGAGUCGCUAGUAAUCGCAGAUCAGCAAUGCUGCGGUGA